ACUCACGUGGUGAAAUUGGUAUACACGCUACCUUGAGGUGGUAGUAGAUUUGCUGGUUCAAAUCCAGUCGUGAGUA
This 76-nucleotide transfer RNA is filed under the name Candidatus Karelsulcia muelleri. RNAcentral's name for it is "Candidatus Sulcia muelleri tRNA-Leu". It matches the Rfam family "tRNA". From Rfam's summary of the family: Transfer RNA (tRNA) molecules are approximately 80 nucleotides in length. Lineage: Bacteria; Pseudomonadati; Bacteroidota; Flavobacteriia; Flavobacteriales. RNAcentral also lists the same sequence under 1 other name. The record is from RNAcentral.